GACGAACGCUGGCGGCGUGCUUAACACAUGCAAGUCGAACGGAAAGGCCCUGCUUUUGUGGGGUGCUCGAGUGGCGAACGGGUGAGUAACACGUGAGUAACCUGCCCUUGACUUUGGGAUAACUUCAGGAAACUGGGGCUAAUACCGGAUAGGAGCUCCUGCUGCAUGGUGGGGGUUGGAAAGUUUCGGCGGUUGGGGAUGGACUCGCGGCUUAUCAGCUUGUUGGUGGGGUAGUGGCUUACCAAGGCUUUGACGGGUAGCCGGCCUGAGAGGGUGACCGGCCACAUUGGGACUGAGAUACGGCCCAGACUCCUACGGGAGGCAGAAGUGGGGAAUAUUGCACAAUGGGCGGAGGCCUGAUGCAGCAACGCCGCGUGCGGGAUGACGGCCUUCGGGUUGUAAACCGCUUUCGCCUGUGACGAAGCGUGAGUGACGGUAAUGGGUAAAGAAGCACCGGCUAACUACGUG
RNAcentral lists this ribosomal RNA (468 nucleotides) under uncultured bacterium. RNAcentral describes it as "partial 16S ribosomal RNA". It matches the Rfam family "Bacterial small subunit ribosomal RNA", at positions 28 to 507 of the family's 1533-position model. The record is from RNAcentral.